GGUCAGUUGGCAGAGUGGUUGAAUGCGCGUGAUUGCUAAUCCCGUGAGUCGCAAGGCUCCAAAGGUUCGAAUCCUUUACUGACCGCCA
This 88-nucleotide transfer RNA is filed under the name Armatimonadota bacterium. RNAcentral describes it as "Armatimonadetes bacterium (activated sludge metagenome) tRNA-Ser". It matches the Rfam family "tRNA". Rfam says of the family: Transfer RNA (tRNA) molecules are approximately 80 nucleotides in length. Lineage: Bacteria; Bacillati; Armatimonadota. The record is from RNAcentral.